RNAcentral lists this ribosomal RNA (497 nucleotides) under uncultured bacterium. RNAcentral's name for it is "partial 16S ribosomal RNA". It matches the Rfam family "Bacterial small subunit ribosomal RNA", at positions 28 to 507 of the family's 1533-position model. The record is from RNAcentral.
GACGAACGCUGGCGGCGUGCCUAAUACAUGCAAGUAGAACGCUGAAGAGAGGAGCUUGCUCUUCUUGGAUGAGUUGCGAACGGGUGAGUAACGCGUAGGUAACCUGCCUUGUAGCGGGGGAUAACUAUUGGAAACGAUAGCUAAUACCGCAUAACAAUGGAUGACACAUGUCAUUUAUUUGAAAGGGGCAAUUGCUCCACUACAAGAUGGACCUGCGUUGUAUUAGCUAGUAGGUGAGGUAAUGGCUCACCUAGGCGACGAUACAUAGCCGACCUGAGAGGGUGGUCGGCCACACUGGGACUGAGACACGGCCCAGACUCCUACGGGAGGCAGCAGUAGGGAAUCUUCGGCAAUGGGGGCAACCCUGACCGAGCAACGCCGCGUGAGUGAAGAAGGGUUUCGGAUCGUAAAGCUCGGUUGUAAGUCAAGAACGGGUGUGAGAGUGGAAAGUUCACGCUGUGACGGUAGCUAACCAGAAAGGGACGGCUAACUACGUG